GACGAACGCUGGCGGCGUGCCUAAUACAUGCAAGUCGAACGCUUCUUUCCUCCCGAGUGCUUGCACUCAAUUGGAAAGAGGAGUGGCGGACGGGUGAGUAACACGUGGGUAACCUACCCAUCAGAGGGGGAUAACACUUUGAAACAGGUGCUAAUACCGCAUAACAGUUUAUGCCGCAUGGCAUAAGAGUGAAAGGCGCUUUCGGGUGUCGUUGAUGGAUGGACCCGCGGUGCAUUAGCUAGUUGGUGAGGUAACGGCUCACCAAGGCCACGAUGCAUAGCCGACCUGAGAGGGUGAUCGGCCACACUGGGACUGAGACACGGCCCAGACUCCUACGGGAGGCAGCAGUAGGGAAUCUUCGGCAAUGGACGAAAGUCUGACCGAGCAACGCCGCGUGAGUGAAGAAGGUUUUCGGAUCGUAAAACGCUGUUGUUAGAGAAGAACAAGGACGUUAGUAACUGAACGUCCCCUGACGGUAUCUAACCAGAAAGCCACGGCUAACUACGU
RNAcentral lists this ribosomal RNA (507 nucleotides) under uncultured bacterium. Its description in RNAcentral is "partial 16S ribosomal RNA". It matches the Rfam family "Bacterial small subunit ribosomal RNA", at positions 28 to 506 of the family's 1533-position model. The record is from RNAcentral.